UACGGAGGGUGCAAGCGUUAUCCGGAAUCAUUGGGUUUAAAGGGUCCGCAGGCGGGCUAAUAAGUCAGUGGUGAAAUCUCUCGGCUUAACCGAGAAACUGCCAUUGAUACUGUUAGUCUUGAAUUCGGUCGAAGUGGGCGGAAUAUGUCAUGUAGCGGUGAAAUGCUUAGAUAUGACAUAGAACACCGAUAGCGAAGGCAGCUCACUAGACCUGGAUUGACGCUCAGGGACGAAAGCGUGGGGAGCGAAC
Molecule: ribosomal RNA, 250 nt
Filed under: uncultured bacterium
Lineage: Bacteria
Description: partial 16S ribosomal RNA
Rfam family: Bacterial small subunit ribosomal RNA
Source: RNAcentral